This 468-nucleotide ribosomal RNA is filed under the name uncultured bacterium. Its description in RNAcentral is "partial 16S ribosomal RNA". It matches the Rfam family "Bacterial small subunit ribosomal RNA", at positions 28 to 507 of the family's 1533-position model. The record is from RNAcentral.
GACGAACGCUGGCGGCGUGCUUAACACAUGCAAGUCGAACGGAAAGGCCCUGCUUUUGUGGGGUGCCCGAGUGGCGAACGGGGGAGUAACACGUGAGUAACCUGCUCUUGACUUUGGGAUAACUUCAGGAAACGGGGGCUAAUACCGGAUAGGAGCUCCUGCUGCAUGGUGGGGGGUGGAAAGUUUCGGCGGUUGGGGAUGGACGCGCGGCUUAUCAGCUUGUUGGUGGGGGAGUGGCUGACCAAGCCUGUGACGGGUCGCCGGCCUGAGAGGGUGACCGGCCUCCUUGGGCCUGCGGUACGGCCCAGUCUCCUACGGGGGGCAGCGGUGGGGAAUAUUGCCCAGUGGGCGCGAGCCUGUGGCGGCGGCGCCGCGUUCGUGAUGACGGCCUUCGGGUUGUGAACCGCUUUCGCCUGUGACGAAGCGUGAGUGACGGUACUGGGUAAAGAAGCACCGGCUAACUACGUG